Long non-coding RNA from Bombus impatiens (common eastern bumble bee), 3141 nucleotides. RefSeq lists it as uncharacterized. The record is from RefSeq and is a predicted model, not a curated record. Lineage: Eukaryota; Metazoa; Arthropoda; Insecta; Hymenoptera; Apidae. The transcript has 2 exons.
AUUUGUUUUAUAAAAUCUACUUCUACCUGAUUUUCUUAAGAAGAAAGUAGGGUUAUUCGAUUGAAUUUCGCAACAAAUGAUAAAUGUAUAAGACUUAAUGUACCGUAUCAAAUUCGGGUUUUUAACCUAUUGUAUACUUUCACUAUGUCAUGAAUAGGAGAAAAUUAUUAGUAAUAACCGGGACAUGACAAACAUUUGAUCGAUUACAUGCAUGUGUAAGCCUAAAUAUCAAAGUCAGGCCGAUAUUAUCGCGGCUGCUUUUAAAUUUCACGUUUAUCUGAGCAACUUAGAAAAAUAGAAAUCACAAUGUAGCGCAUGUUAAACUACUUCUUAUCUCAUAGCAUUUACGCGUCAGUAUCUUUCACAGGACUAUUCAUACACAAAGCAGUUUACCAAACAUUUCCUGCAUGCUUAAAUCUUACUCAUUCUUGAUAGUGAUAUGACUAAUUGCAAUGAUAAUCAUAACAUACAUAUAACACGAUCCGAAAUCUCUUUUUCACUAUUUUAAAACGAUGCUUUGCCAUAUCAUAUAGAACUGCAAGUACGUACCUCGACUUUUGUCUUUCUUAUUACUUACGAUAAACAAUUAUUAAUGCAUUAUUGUUUCCUUGAGGAAUUGUAUUGAAUUGUAAAUAUCAUUGAAAGAAUGAAAAAAUAUGCAUUAUUGUAAGUUAACACGCAGUUAUAUCUAUUCUUGUCGUGUAACCAAUAUAUAGAAUUCAAUAUUUAACCGCGAACAAAAAUUCUCGUUUUCAUUCCCUCAGUGAAGUUAUGGCGCGAACAAAGCAUUUUAAGGAUGGGAAUAUUAUUGCCGAGAUUCUACUGUUUUGCAUACAAUAGUUUGUUAGGCUAGACAGCUCGGCGGGUAUAUACAAAAAGUCAUGCACAUUGUUUCUCUCUGUUCGCCGCGUAUGAAUACCAAAAGAGAUUAACGAAAUUUAAACUCGCCUUCUUAAAAUUUAUAAUUCCGUGCUGGCGCCCGACUGUUUACGCCCACGCGUCGUUGCCUACAAUGCUACGCGCACAAACACCGUCCGUCUGCCACUUUAAAAACUGUUGACCGCAGAUGCACUAAAUUGUUUCAUUUAACGACCCAAGCAAAGGUUCAAACCUUUCGUUCGAAAGUUUAAUAUCUUAUAGUCAUGACCAUUCUCAAAUGUAAAAACCAAUCAAUUUAACAUUUCGUCAAUCGAUCAUGGAUCAAUUUUAAUUAACAUUAAAUCGAUAUUAAUAUAUAUUAAAGCUUACAUUUUAUAUCUGUUUACAUAAACGAAAUGAACAUGAUUUAGUUAAUGCAAUCAUAACAACCUUGGGAAUUUACAUUUUUGUCGAUGCUUCGAACGAAAUCAGUUUCUCAGGCAAAAACAAUGCCUUUGUUCCGUUUUUCUAUCAGCUGCUGCAUUGCCUUCCUUCUAGUCGUUAACCUUGGCAAGCACAAAAGAGGAUAAAUACCGAACUGCGAUAGAAUAAUUUCAACUUUGACUUCCUGUCCGUUGCAGUAAGCUAGUAACAAAAACUGUUACGUACUCUCGGAAAACAUUCGCCUCCUUGUUCUUAUAACCUCAAAAAGGAUACAAAACAACGAUACUCUGCAUAUCUGCAUACAGUUAUUGCUAUGAAAAUCCGAUUGAUUGACAUUAUGCACACGUACUUAUGUAUGUAGCACGAAAGUUGCAUAUAAUCGCUUUGUUUGCGCGGCCAUCGUGCCAAAUUUAUUAACAGACGUGUUUAUAGGCGCGCGACAUGUAUCCUCUUGUCCGGCGCGUUUUAUCUCGAACGUUUGCAAACAGCGCAAGCGAACCGAAACGCACGUGCGUUUUGCAAGAGGCAACGGGAGCGGGUAUUGACUCAUUUCGUGCAACUUCCACGGCUAUGCUUCGAACUUGCCAGCUGCGACCGAGAGCGGAGUCCAAACGUGCUCGAUUCCUCAAUCUCUAGUUGUAUUAAAAGUUCGCGAUGUCAGCAGUGACGUUAUCUCAGGAGACUUUGUCUGUGUGUUUAUGGAAAGAAUACGCAGCGACUAACAAGCAAAUGCACGUGUGACGACUCGAUUUCGCUUUUGGCGUAUUUCGUUGCAAGAACAGUGCUCGAUACUCUGUACGCUAUUAAAUCUCUGAAGAUUAUACCUGAUUGAUAACUUAUCGUUAAUCGUCUAUUCGUGAGUACAUACAGCGUCUAUUAUCAUGUCAAAAUUGAUGGAUGAGAAAAAUUAAGAAAAAUUAGUCAAUAAAAUGUAUUGAUAGAUCAUGCACGUUAAAUGAAACGGGCAAACAGAAUAAUAAAAGAAAUGUUCUGAGUAUGUGUUUUUAAAUUCGCUGACUAGUAAUCGCUAUUAUUAGUUCCUACCAAAAUAGCUGCUUUUUUAUCCGCGUUAUAUAUCCAGAUAAGAUAAAGGAGAAUAUUUCAACCGUUUGUAACGGUGGAAAAUCGCCUUGUCAAUUUCUAAUUGCGCAUGUGUUAAUAUCAAGAACUCUUCACGAUAUAUGCAUAUCUGGUACGACAGAUGCGUUCUUCUCGUCGUUUUUACAAGGAAGAUCGAUGCGUGAUUUGUUAACCUCGAAAACGCCACGAACAAGGCUUAACCUACAUGUUAACCGAGAAAACCAAGCGAACGUGAAACAGGCAAAACAACGAUUCUCCGUGUAUUCUUCGAGCACAUGUGAGGCAGAUUGCUCCCGCGGCACCGAUUUACGAAACGGCAAUGACAUUCCAUGGCGUCGUAAUUUUUCCAAUCGGGUAACGUUUCAAAUGUGGCCGCUACGUCGAGGCCUUGGCUAUAGGCAGAAGUUAGCUCAAGGACGACGACCGCCUGUCUAUUCGAAUUUCAUCAUGGUGUGAAGCUAAGCAGGUGAAUGUCAGCCCCUUACGCCUCAUGCCCGUAAUGAGACAUAUCUUUCAGGCAUAACGCCGUGCUCAGUAAAUGGACCUGAUUUGGUUAAAAAUAACGAUUAUGUAAAAUGUUAUCAGCGAACAUGAAAAAGGGUAAGUAAAUUCGUAGGCUGAUAGACAGUCUUUAAUUAAAGCUUUUAAUGUUCUGUAUUGUCAUGAUGGAGAUAAUUAGAGUGCAGACGUUUAUGGAUUGGGAAAUUGAAAGAUAAUUGAAAAUGUAAGAUAUCUAAAAAAUCCCAUGUAAUAUUUAGA